This 72-nucleotide transfer RNA is filed under the name Bos taurus (domestic cattle). It matches the Rfam family "tRNA". From Rfam's summary of the family: Transfer RNA (tRNA) molecules are approximately 80 nucleotides in length. Lineage: Eukaryota; Metazoa; Chordata; Mammalia; Artiodactyla; Bovidae. RNAcentral also lists the same sequence under 2 other names. The record is from Rfam by way of RNAcentral.
UCCUAGUUGGCUCAGAGGUAAAGAAUCUGCCUGCCAAUGCAGGAGACACAGGUUCGAUCCCUGGACUGGGAA